This 382-nucleotide ribosomal RNA is filed under the name uncultured eukaryote. RNAcentral describes it as "partial 18S ribosomal RNA". It matches the Rfam family "Eukaryotic small subunit ribosomal RNA", at positions 592 to 976 of the family's 1831-position model. The record is from RNAcentral.
UGUAAGCGUAUACCAAAGUUGUUGCAGUUAAAACGCUCGUAGUCGGAAUUUGGCAGUUCCGGAUGUGUGCACGUCGUGUGCGCACUUCGCGGGGAUUGCUUUUGUGGUCUUGCGUAGGAUGAGGCACUUUUAUUAGUGAACGUCCUCACGCAACCACUUUUUACUGUAAGAAAAUCAGAGUGCUCAAAGCAGGCAUUUGCCGUGAAUGUAUUAGCAUGGAAUAAUAGAAUAGGACUUGGUUCUAUUUUGUUGGUUUGUUGGGACUGAGUAAUGAUUAAGAGGGACAGUUGGGGGCAUUUGUAUUUCGGUGCUAGAGGUGAAAUUCUUAGAUUACCGAAAGACAAACUGCUGCGAAAGCGUCUGCCAAGGAUGUUUUCAUUGA